RNAcentral lists this unclassified non-coding RNA (300 nucleotides) under uncultured fungus. Its description in RNAcentral is "partial contains 5.8S ribosomal RNA, internal transcribed spacer 2, and large subunit ribosomal RNA". The record is from RNAcentral. Lineage: Eukaryota; Fungi.
AACGCAAAUUGCACUCCCUGGCAUUCCGGGGAGUAUGCCUGUUUGAGGGUCAGUUUAAAUAAAUAUCGUGGUGUUGCUUUUUUGUGACGCUUCGGAAUUGGGUUAUCUUGAUCCUCUGGGUUAAGUGACCUAAAAUUGAUGUAUCUUCUGUGCAUCUCGGACGUACAUAAGAAUUUUUUUUCCUAUCCGUCAGGGUUGCCAGGUCCUUAUUAGGUAUGAUCACGUUGCUUGUGAAAUCCGUACCUAUAACAUAAUUCAUAUUUUGACCUCAAAUCAGGUAAGAAAACCCGCUGAACUUAA